Molecule: ribosomal RNA, 1362 nt
Filed under: uncultured Bacteroidota bacterium
Lineage: Bacteria; Pseudomonadati; Bacteroidota
Description: bacterial SSU rRNA
Rfam family: Bacterial small subunit ribosomal RNA
Source: RNAcentral
CGUAACGCGUAUAGAAUCUGCCUUUUACAGGAGAAUAGCCCUAAGAAAUUGGGAUUAAUGCUCCAUAGUUUUGGUUAGUCACAUGACUUUUCAAAUAAAGCUCCGGCGGUAAAAGAUGGGCAUGCGUAUCAUUAGCUAGUUGGUAAGGUAACGGCUUACCAAGGCAACGAUGAUUAUGGGGUCUUAAAGGAUGGUCCCACACACUGGUACUGAGACACGGACCAGACUCCUACGGGAGGCAGCAGUGAGGAAUAUUGGUCAAUGGACGCAAGUCUGAACCAGCCAUCCCGCGUGAAGGAUGACUGCCCUAUGGGUUGUAAACUUCUUUUAUAUACCAAGAACAGUAGAUACGUGUAUUUAUUUGACGGUAGUAUAUGAAUAAGCACCGGCUAACUCCGUGCCAGCAGCCGCGGUAAUACGGAGGGUGCAAGCGUUAUCCGGAUUUAUUAGGUUUAAAGGGUGCGUAGGUGGAUUAAUAAGUCAGUGGUGAAAUCCUGUAGCUCAACUACAGAAUUGCCAUUGAUACUGUUGAUCUUGAGUGCGUUUGAGGUAUGCGGAAUGUGUAAUGUAGCGGUGAAAUGCAUAGAUAUUACACAGAACCCCGAUUGCGAAGGCAGCAUACUAAGCCGUAACUGACACUGAUGCACGAAAGCGUGGGUAGCGAACAGGAUUAGAUACCCUGGUAGUCCACGCCGUAAACGAUGCUCACUCGUUGUCUGCGAUACACAGUAGGCGACUAAGGGAAACCAUUAAGUGAGCCACCUGGGGAGUACGUUGGCAACAAUGAAACUCAAAGGAAUUGACGGGGGCCCGCACAAGCGGAGGAACAUGUGGUUUAAUUCGAUGAUACGCGAGGAACCUUACCUGGGCUUAAAUGUAGAUUGCAUUAUUUGGAAACGAGUAUUUCUUUCGAGACUAUUUACAAGGUGCUGCAUGGUUGUCGUCAGCUCGUGCCGUGAGGUGUCGGGUUAAGUCCCAUAACGAGCGCAACCCCUAUCGUUAGUUGCCAUCAGGUUAAGCUGGGGACUCUAACGAGACUGCCACCGUAAGGUGUGAGGAAGGUGGGGAUGACGUCAAAUCAGCACGGCCCUUAUGUCCAGGGCUACACACGUGUUACAAUGGCCGAUACAAAGAGCAGCCACCUGGCGACAGGGCGCUAAUCUCAAAAGUCGGUCUUAGUUCGGAUCGGAGUCUGCAACUCGACUCCGUGAAGCUGGAUUCGCUAGUAAUCGUAUAUCAGCCAUGAUACGGUGAAUACGUUCCCGGGCCUUGUACACACCGCCCGUCAAGCCAUGGAAGUUGGGGGUGCCUGAAGUCCGUAACCGUAAGGAGCGGCCUAGGGUAAAACUGGUAACUAGGGCU